Molecule: ribosomal RNA, 834 nt
Filed under: uncultured bacterium
Lineage: Bacteria
Description: bacterial SSU rRNA
Rfam family: Bacterial small subunit ribosomal RNA
Source: RNAcentral
AGAGUUUGAUCCUGGCUCAGGAUGAACGCUGGCGGCGUGCUUAACACAUGCAAGUCGAGCGGGAAAUAUUUCAUUGAGACUUCGGUGGAUUUGAUCUAUUUCUAGUGGCGGACGGGUGAGUAACGCGUGGGUAACCUGCCUUAUACAGGGGGAUAACAGUCAGAAAUGGCUGCUAAUACCGCAUAAGCGCACAGAGCUGCAUGGCUCAGUGUGAAAAACUCCGGUGGUAUAAGAUGGACCCGCGUUGGAUUAGCUGGUUGGUGGGGUAACGGCCCACCAAGGCGACGAUCCAUAGCCGGCCUGAGAGGGUGAACGGCCACAUUGGGACUGAGACACGGCCCAGACUCCUACGGGAGGCAGCAGUGGGGAAUAUUGCACAAUGGGGGAAACCCUGAUGCAGCGACGCCGCGUGAAGGAAGAAGUAUCUCGGUAUGUAAACUUCUAUCAGCAGGGAAGAUAGUGACGGUACCUGACUAAGAAGCCCCGGCUAACUACGUGCCAGCAGCCGCGGUAAUACGUAGGGGGCAAGCGUUAUCCGGAUUUACUGGGUGUAAAGGGAGCGUAGACGGUGUGGCAAGUCUGAUGUGAAAGGCAUGGGCUCAACCUGUGGACUGCAUUGGAAACUGUCAUACUUGAGUGCCGGAGGGGUAAGCGGAAUUCCUAGUGUAGCGGUGAAAUGCGUAGAUAUUAGGAGGAACACCAGUGGCGAAGGCGGCUUACUGGACGGUAACUGACGUUGAGGCUCGAAAGCGUGGGGAGCAAACCAGGAUUAGAUACCCUGGUAGUCCACGCGGUAAACGAUGAAUGCUAGGGGCCGGGGAGCAAAGCUCUUCG